Molecule: ribosomal RNA, 253 nt
Filed under: uncultured bacterium
Lineage: Bacteria
Description: partial 16S ribosomal RNA
Rfam family: Bacterial small subunit ribosomal RNA
Source: RNAcentral
UACGGAGGGAGCUAGCAUUGUUCGGAAUUACUGGGCGUAAAGCGCACGUAGGCGGCUUUUUAAGUCAGGGGUGAAAUCCCGGGGCUCAACCCCGGAACUGCCCUUGAAACUGGAGAGCUAGAAUCUUGGAGAGGCGAGUGGAAUUCCGAGUGUAGAGGUGAAAUUCGUAGAUAUUCGGAAGAACACCAGUGGCGAAGGCGACUCGCUGGACAAGUAUUGACGCUGAGGUGCGAAAGCGUGGGGAGCAAACAGG